Molecule: long non-coding RNA, 1292 nt
Filed under: Capsella rubella
Lineage: Eukaryota; Viridiplantae; Streptophyta; Magnoliopsida; Brassicales; Brassicaceae
Description: long non-coding RNA (CRUB_LNC004571)
Source: RNAcentral
CGUUAGCGUAUGCAUUUACAAUUCACAAAGAAAAAAAUGAUUAAAAUAACGUUUUCACAUUUACCAAACCUAAAAUGGUUUCAACUAAAGAAUAAUUUUUUUUUUUUUUUUUUUUUUUUUGUAUAACACAAUAUUUUAUAAUGUUACAACGCUAGUAGUAAAACAGUUUAACGUCCAAUAUUGUUAAAAGAAAUAAUUUUCUUAUAACAGGGGCUCAUACUAUUGGUGUAUCUCACUGCUCGUCUUUCACAAACCGUCUAUACAAUUUUACGGGCCGUGGAGACCAAGAUCCAGCCCUAGACAGCGAAUAUGCAGCCAAUCUCAAGUCUAGGAAAUGUCCUAGCCUCAACGAUAACAAGACCAUCGUUGAGAUGGAUCCAGGGAGCCGCAAAACAUUUGAUCUAAGUUAUUACCAGCUAGUUCUCAAGCGUAGAGGUCUGUUUCAGUCAGACUCUGCUCUCACCACUAACCCAACGACACUCUCAAACAUAAACCGGAUCUUGACGGGUUCCGUGGAAAGUUUCUAUUCUGAGUUUGCCAAGUCGAUGGAGAAAAUGGGUCGGAUCAAUGUCAAGACGGGAUCAGCGGGAGUGGUUAGGAGGCAAUGUUCCGUUGCAAAUAGUUGAGGGGUGAAAAUGUAAAAGAUUUGGGAGUUUUGGGUGUAGUUGUGAGAAUAAUAAGGAUGAUGAUUGUGAUGUAACCUUUUGGGAUUUGUGUGCAUGGAUUUUGUUAUAGACUUCGUCAAUAAAGUGAAAUAAAAUUACUGGUGUUUUAUAUAUGUAUAUACUUGGUUUGUCUAGUACGAACCAUGACACUUGAGUUGGUUUGAGUAACCUUGUCAUAUUGUGAAUAGAGUUAUCUACAAACGAGACUCCAAAGUAUCCAAAAAUAUGAAGAAAUUACUGAAGUAAAUAUGUUCUAUUUUAUUAUUUAUGUGUUGAUUGUUUAUUGUUUUCAUUGGCGUUUUUUAUUUAACUGAUUUUAAUGUAUUCUUAACUUUUACAGUUGUCUGUAAAUUGCCAUUGUAAUGUUUUGGAUGCGCGUAAAAUACAUAACGAGUAUUUUUCACCCACCCUAGCUCAAAGCCUCAAACUCAAACAACUCGAUUUAGUUCUAAAUUUCUAAUUAUCAAAAAAGAAAAAUACCGAAAGACCAAAACAAAAAGAAAGCUUCAUUAUUUUCAUCAACCAACGUACAAAGAAAAUAAAAAACUAAAAAGAAAAAGAGUAACGGGUGUAAAAGUUAUUUUUGAGUUUGUAUCAUUCCUUCGUAUGGCUCUCAGGAGAAUAUAG